UCCAAUCAGAAUCGAAGCUGGGAGCUCAGCUUAGAGAACAGGAAGUGGGAGCCACAUACCCCGAGCUGGCGGCUUGAGCCUGUGGUAUCUAGGCUCACCUCACUGCGGUUGGUGGAGGUGAUGGAGGUUGCAGCUUGGCCAGCAUGGUAGAAAGGUGGCAGGGUAGACUCUAGAUUCUAGAGGGCAACCUCUGUUUGCUCAUGCUGGAGCGUGGCAGGUGCACAAUGUUUCCUUGGGAAUCCUCAGCAGGGCACGUCUGGCUUUUACCACCCAGUUGCUUCGAGCCAGGAGAUGGAGGAGUCAUCUGUUGCACGCUGGAGGCUGGAGCCUGCAGAUGGCAUGGUUCUGUGGCUCACCUCGCUGCAGUUGGUGGCAGAGACAGAGACUGCAGCUUGACCAGAGUGGUGGAGUGAGUAUUGUCAUCUGCAUGAGCAAAUCUGGUUCAUCACAUCUUUGCAACAGGAAAAGGAAGGGAGGAUCAUGUGUAUAAUGUUUUAAGGCCAAGAUUCACAACAAGAACAAAGUCUUUAUUAACUUUUGCCUUCAAGAACCUGCAGUGUUGAGCCCUUUUUUAUUUCUGGUAUUACUACCUUUGAUAUGUAUCUCAAGAGCACUCCACAACAAAGAUUCUGCCUGCAAUCCUCCACUUCAAGGUCUGUUCCAGGAAACCUGUGUAACACAGUUAUGCAUAGAGUGGUCUUAGGAAGCUGACUCUAACAUGAAAAUUUAGAGUUGGAUCUUUUGCUGACAUAUUGAAUAUUCAUAAGAGCAUAUGAUACAUUUGUCUAUCAUAAACAUGUCAUUUCAAAAAACCCUCAAAGUUGCCUUGUAGAACAUAAUUUUAAAACUAGUGUGUAGGAAUAUUUCAUAUCAGUUAUUCAGUCUUCUUAAUAUCUGAACCGAAAUUAAUCUUCCAUUCUGCUUUUAUUUAUAAAUAAUGAUUUAUUGUCAGAUUCAAUAAUUUAUAUUUUCAUUUAUUCUAAGGUAGGAAAUACCAGCAUAAAAAUAAAUUAUUUGAAACAAAUCACAUUGUUGUCCCAUUUUACCAUUACUCACAUGUAGAAGAUAUUGUUUUUAACAAAAACAAUAAGAGAAACAGAAACUACCAUUUAUUAACUGAUGCUUACUGGAAGCUUUAGAAGGAUCUUAUUUAACUUUCAAUCAAGUUUUUCAUGGACAUUUUUGUUAUUGAGAAAUAAUUUUAAUUUAUCAGAUCCUCAAAGCAAAUUAUAUAGGUGCCAUUAUUAACAGAUUUUUUAAAAAAACCUGAUUCAUAGAAAAGGUUAAUGAUAUGGUUUGGAUCUUUGACCCCAUCAAAUCUCAUGUUGAAUUGCAAUCCCCAGUGCUGGAAGUGGGGCCUGGUGGGAGCUGAUUAAAUUAUGGAGGUGGAGUUCUCGUGAAUGGUAUAGCACCAUUCCUUUGGUGCUGUCUUGUGGUUGAGUUUUCAUGACAUUUGGUUGUUUAAAAGUUUGUGGCAUCUUUCCCAUCUCUCUCUUGCUCUUCCUGCAGCCAGGUGAAGGGCUGUUCCCCCUUUGCCUUCUGCCAUGAUUGUAAAUUUCCUGAGGCCUCCCCAAAAGCUGAGCAGGUGUCAGCAUCAUGCUUCCUUAACAGCCAAUGGAAUUACG
Molecule: long non-coding RNA, 1625 nt
Filed under: Homo sapiens (human)
Lineage: Eukaryota; Metazoa; Chordata; Mammalia; Primates; Hominidae
Description: HSALNT0371987
Source: RNAcentral